CCUACGUGAGGCAGCAGUGAGGAAUAUUGGUCAAUGGGCGCGAGCCUGAACCAGCCAAGUAGCGUGAAGGAUGACUGCCCUACGGGUUGUAAACUUCUUUUAUAAAGGAAUAAAGUGAGGCACGUGUGCCUUUUUGUAUGUACUUUAUGAAUAAGGAUCGGCUAACUCCGUGCCAGCAGCCGCGGUAAUACGGAGGAUCCGAGCGUUAUCCUGAUUUAUUGGGUUUAAAGGGAGCGUAGAUGGGUUGUUAAGUCAGUUGUGAAAGUUUGCGGCUCAACCGUAAAAGUGCAAUUGAAACUGGCAGUCUUGAGUACAGUGGAGGUAGGCGGAAUUCGUGGUGUAGCGGUGAAAUGCUUAGAUAUCACGAAGAACUCCGAUUGCGAAGGCAGCUUACUAAACUGCCACUGACAUUGAUGCUCGAAAGUGUGGGUAUCAAACAGGAUUAGAUACCCCGGUAGUC
Molecule: ribosomal RNA, 460 nt
Filed under: uncultured bacterium
Lineage: Bacteria
Description: partial 16S ribosomal RNA
Rfam family: Bacterial small subunit ribosomal RNA
Source: RNAcentral